UACGUAGGUGGCGAGCGUUGUCCGGAUUUAUUGGGUUUAAAGGGUGCGUAGGCGGCUUUGUAAGUCAGUGGUGAAAUACUCCAGCUUAACUGGAGGGGUGCCAUUGAUACUGCGGAGCUUGAGUACAGAUGAGGUAGGCGGAAUUGACGGUGUAGCGGUGAAAUGCGUAGAUAUCAGGAGGAACACCUGCGGUGUAGACGGCUUUCUGGACCAUUGCUGACGCUGAGACACGAAAGCGUGGGUAGCAAACAGG
RNAcentral lists this ribosomal RNA (253 nucleotides) under uncultured bacterium. RNAcentral's name for it is "partial 16S ribosomal RNA". It matches the Rfam family "Bacterial small subunit ribosomal RNA", at positions 524 to 776 of the family's 1533-position model. The record is from RNAcentral.